RNAcentral lists this ribosomal RNA (253 nucleotides) under uncultured bacterium. Its description in RNAcentral is "partial 16S ribosomal RNA". It matches the Rfam family "Bacterial small subunit ribosomal RNA", at positions 524 to 776 of the family's 1533-position model. The record is from RNAcentral.
UACAGAGGUCCCAAGCGUUGUUCGGAUUCACUGGGCGUAAAGGGUGCGUAGGCGGUCAGGUAAGUCUGAUGUGAAAUCUCUGGGCUUAACCCAGAAAUGGCAUUGGAUACUAUUUGGCUUGAGAGUUGGAGGGGGGACCGGAAUUCUUGGUGUAGCAGUGAAAUGCGUAGAUAUCAAGAGGAACACCAGUGGCGAAGGCGAGUCCCUGGACAACUUCUGACGCUGAGGCACGAAAGCUAGGGGAGCAAACAGG